RNAcentral lists this ribosomal RNA (477 nucleotides) under uncultured bacterium. RNAcentral's name for it is "partial 16S ribosomal RNA". It matches the Rfam family "Bacterial small subunit ribosomal RNA", at positions 30 to 507 of the family's 1533-position model. The record is from RNAcentral.
AUUGAACGCUGGCGGCAUGCCUUACACAUGCAAGUCGAACGGUAACAGGUUAAGCUGACGAGUGGCGAACGGGUGAGUAAUACAUCGGAACGUGCCCAGUAGUGGGGGAUAGCCCGGCGAAAGCCGGAUUAAUACCGCAUACGACCUAAGGGUGAAAGGGGGGGAUCGCAAGACCUCUCGCUAUUGGAGCGGCCGAUGUCAGAUUAGCUAGUUGGUGGGGUAAAAGCUCACCAAGGCGACGAUCUGUAGCUGGUCUGAGAGGACGACCAGCCACACUGGGACUGAGACACGGCGCAGACUCCUACGGGAGGCAGCAGUGGGGAAUUUUGGACAAUGGGCGCAAGCCUGAUCCAGCCAUGCCGCGUGCGGGAAGAAGGCCUUCGGGUUGUAAACCGCUUUUGUCAGGGAAGAAAUCCUUUGGGUUAAUACCUCGGGGGGAUGACGGUACCUGAAGAAUAAGCACCGGCUAACUACGUG